GUGACUGAGUGGCGGACGGGUGAGUAACGCGUGGGUAACCUGCCUCAUACAGGGGGAUAACAGUUAGAAAUGGCUGCUAAUACCGCAUAAGCGCACAGUACCACAUGGUACCGUGUGAAAAACUCCGGUGGUAUGAGAUGGACCCGCGUCUGAUUAGCUAGUUGGCAGGGUAACGGCCUACCAAGGCGACGAUCAGUAGCCGACCUGAGAGGGUGAUCGGCCACAUUGGGACUGAGACACGGCCCAAACUCCUACGGGAGGCAGCAGUGGGGAAUAUUGCACAAUGGGGGAAACCCUGAUGCAGCGACGCCGCGUGAAGGAAGACGUAUUUCGGUAUGUAAACUUCUAUCAGCAAGGAAGAUGAUGACGGUACUUGACUAAGAAGCCCCGGCUAACUACGUGCCAGCAGCCGCGGUAAUACGUAGGGGGCAAGCGUUAUCCGGAUUUACUGGGUGUAAACGGAGCGUAGGCGGCCAUGCAAGUCAGAAGUGAAAGCCCGGGGCUCAACCCCGGGACUGCUUUUGAAACUGUA
This 532-nucleotide ribosomal RNA is filed under the name uncultured Lachnospiraceae bacterium. RNAcentral describes it as "bacterial SSU rRNA". It matches the Rfam family "Bacterial small subunit ribosomal RNA", at positions 87 to 637 of the family's 1533-position model. The record is from RNAcentral. Lineage: Bacteria; Bacillati; Bacillota; Clostridia; Lachnospirales; Lachnospiraceae.